AGAGUUUGAUCCUGGCUCAGGAUGAACGCUGGCGGCGUGCCUAAUACAUGCAAGUCGAACGCGAGCCUUUGGGCUCGAGUGGCGAACGGGUGAGUAAUACGUAAGCAACCUGGCCUUUACAGGGGGAUAACUGAUGGAAACGUCAGCUAAGACCGCAUAGGUACAGAGAUCGCAUGAUAACUGUAUUAAAAGUGCUACGGGACUGGUAGAGGAUGGGCUUACGGCGCAUUAGCUGGUUGGAGGGGUAACGGCCCACCAAGGCGACGAUGCGUAGCCGACCUGAGAGGGUGACCGGCCACACUGGGACUGAGACACGGCCCAGACUCCUACGGGAGGCAGCAGUAGGGAAUUUUCGGCAAUGGGGGGAACCCUGACCGAGCAACGCCGCGUGAAGGAAGAAGGAAUUCGUUCUGUAAACUUCUGUUAUAAAGGAAGAACGGCACAUAUAGGGAAUGAUAUGUGAGUGACGGUACUUUAUGAGGAAGCCACGGCUAACUACGUGCCAGCAGCCGCGGU
This 516-nucleotide ribosomal RNA is filed under the name uncultured chicken cecal bacterium. RNAcentral's name for it is "bacterial SSU rRNA". It matches the Rfam family "Bacterial small subunit ribosomal RNA", at positions 8 to 521 of the family's 1533-position model. The record is from RNAcentral.